ACUCAGUUUAACGAAGUUUUGAGUUCGGGAGUAGAGGCAGGGUCAAACCGUUUCUCUUUUGAACUUGGGAUUGUUAGAUGUACUUUUUCUUUGGCAGGUCAGCGUCGAUUUCGGAGGUUGUAAAAUACUUGGGGGAAAGUAGCCCUGCUUCGGGAGAGUAUUAUAGACCCUGGGGGAUGCAGCCUGCGGGAUCGAGGAUUGCAGCAAAUGCCUUUGGCUUGUCGCCUGAUCUCUGGAUGUUACCUCGCUUGUGACAACAUUCUUGCCACCUGUGGGUACUAAUGCCCAUUAGGUUAGAGCGAUCAAAAAUUUUGCUAAGGAUGCUGACGUA
RNAcentral lists this ribosomal RNA (331 nucleotides) under uncultured Glomeromycotina. Its description in RNAcentral is "eukaryotic LSU rRNA". Lineage: Eukaryota; Fungi; Glomeromycota. The record is from RNAcentral.